Manacus vitellinus (golden-collared manakin) is the source of this 553-nucleotide long non-coding RNA. RefSeq lists it as uncharacterized. The transcript is spliced from 4 exons. The record is from RefSeq and is a predicted model, not a curated record. Lineage: Eukaryota; Metazoa; Chordata; Aves; Passeriformes; Pipridae.
AUAGACUCAACUGGAUAAUACCUUUGUCUUCUGUGGUGGUGAAUAUAAUAAAAUUGCACUGAAGGGGCAGAACUCCUGUAGCAGCAACAUUUGGGGGACAUUGGAACUGUGACAAACCCCCCUCGCUCUGUUCUCCAACGUCAGCGAAGCAACAGUACCUAAAAUAAUAUUCUCUCAGAUGACUCUGGCUUCAAGGAAUGAAGUGAGAGCUUUUUGAUAGAAACCCUAAAGGAGGACUCAUGUCUGUAGGGAGACUGAACACAUGGGAUCUGAAUCCUAGUUAACAGUGAAUUCUCUAUUACAAGAAGUAAAAGCUUAUGAAUAUUUUCCUUGGCUCUGAAAGUGGAAGCUGACACUAGCUCGUAUGGGAGAAUUUUAACUAAUGAUUAUUACAAUGCUUAUCUGCUAAUUUGCUUCUCCAUAUUUGGAAUCAGUAUGCUUUAUAUGUGUGUGAAAUUUUUGGAGCUCAUGCUAAAAUUUCAACUAGCCAAAUACUUAUCUGCAUUUCAUUAUUAUUGAAAUAAUUAUAGUAAUAAAUAAUAGUGAACACAAU